CCCUUAGAUGUUCUGGGCUGCACGCGCGCUACACUGAUGCACUCAACGAGUUUACGACCUUACCCGAUAGGGUUGGGUAAUCUUUUUAAAAUGCAUCGUGAUGGGGAUAGAUUAUUGCAAUUAUUAAUCUUCAACGAGGAAUUCCUAGUAAGCGCGAGUCAUCAGCUCGUGCUGAUUACGUCCCUGCCCUUUGUACACACCGCCCGUCGCUCCUACCGAUUGAGUGCUCAGGUGAAUAAUUCGGACUGCAGCAAUGUUUGGAUCCCGAACGUUGCAGCGGAAAGUUUAGUGAACCUUAUCACUUAGAGGAAGGAGAAGUCGUAACA
RNAcentral lists this ribosomal RNA (326 nucleotides) under uncultured eukaryote. Its description in RNAcentral is "partial 18S ribosomal RNA". It matches the Rfam family "Eukaryotic small subunit ribosomal RNA", at positions 1470 to 1796 of the family's 1831-position model. The record is from RNAcentral.